GCCUUGUAUUAAGAGGCCUACUGCACUCUUUUACUUAAUGAAAAAAGAUUUCACAGAACAUCAAAGCCAGACCUUUACAAAAGUACCUGGUGCCAUUUCACAUUACUCCAAUACUAUAUCUAUGAAGUCAUUCAGGUCAUCAAUAAAGAUCUGACCUAAUGAAUAACAACAAAUAACUCAACAAUUUUUUUACAGUUUUCAGCCAUAAAUACAGAUAAGUGUAAAACGGUUUAACCAACACACACAAAUUCAUGUAAGUGUGAAUUCAACACACAUACUUCAUGUUAGUGUGAAGCUAACACACAUAAAUACAUGUAAGUGUGAAGCCAACACACAUAAAUUCAUGUAAGUGUGUAGUCAACACACAUAAUUACUUUUAAGUGUGAAGCCAACAUACAUAAAUACAUGUAAGUGUGAAGC
RNAcentral lists this long non-coding RNA (420 nucleotides) under Mytilus galloprovincialis (Mediterranean mussel). Lineage: Eukaryota; Metazoa; Mollusca; Bivalvia; Mytilida; Mytilidae. The record is from RNAcentral.